GGACCGAGAAGUUACCCGUGUGUUAGACAUAAAGGUAUGCGCAAUCUAUUUUCACUCCAACGAAGAUACCACUUUAACCAUACUAGGAUAACCAUGGCGGAAAGGCAAGCUGGUUGCCAAUUGAUGAGAGUCAUCCGUCUCUCCGGUUGUCAGACCAGCUUGACUAAACGUCGGAACCUGCGCUACACCACUCUUCAACCCCAGUGGCAGUGCGUAGUACCAGGGUCCCUUGUUUUUACACAUAGGACGCUGGCACGCACAUCGCAGCAAC
RNAcentral lists this small RNA (271 nucleotides) under synthetic construct. The record is from RNAcentral.